This 234-nucleotide ribosomal RNA is filed under the name uncultured microorganism. RNAcentral describes it as "partial 16S ribosomal RNA". It matches the Rfam family "Archaeal small subunit ribosomal RNA", at positions 330 to 560 of the family's 1478-position model. The record is from RNAcentral.
GUGCAGCAGACGAGAAAACUUCACACUGUGCGAAAGCACGAUGAGGGAAUCCCAAGUGCUUGCACGUAAGUGUAAGCUGUUUCUCUGUCUAAAACGCAGAGAGAGUAAGGGCUGGGUAAGACGGGUGCCAGCCGCCGCGGUAAUACCUGCAGCUCAAGUGGUGACCGUUAUUAUUGGGCCUAAAAACGUCCGUAGCCGGUUUAAAUAAAUGCCUGGGUAAAAUUGUGUAAGCUU